AGAUGAGAGAGAGAGAGAGAGAGAGAGAGAGAGAGAGAGAGAUAGAUUUGGGGGUGGAAUGUUUCCUACCUCUGGUUUAUAUUUAUCACUUUCUAUUCUGUGCUUCAGAACACUCUAGUACAUUAUAGUGAAAACUGAUAUUAGCUAUUGUGAAUGACUCUCUCUCUCUCUCUCUCUCUCUCUCUCUGAACUAAGUCGAUGU
RNAcentral lists this microRNA precursor (202 nucleotides) under Podarcis lilfordi (Lilford's wall lizard). The record is from RNAcentral. Lineage: Eukaryota; Metazoa; Chordata; Lepidosauria; Squamata; Lacertidae.